GUGUGUAUAGUGUAAACAACACACUAGAUUUUCAUUCUAGAGAUAUAGCUAUAUUACACACA
RNAcentral lists this transfer RNA (62 nucleotides) under Amynthas yunoshimensis. RNAcentral's name for it is "tRNA-Glu". It matches the Rfam family "tRNA". From Rfam's summary of the family: Transfer RNA (tRNA) molecules are approximately 80 nucleotides in length. Their secondary structure includes four short double-helical elements and three loops (D, anti-codon, and T loops). The record is from RNAcentral. Lineage: Eukaryota; Metazoa; Annelida; Clitellata; Crassiclitellata; Megascolecidae.